Molecule: ribosomal RNA, 254 nt
Filed under: uncultured bacterium
Lineage: Bacteria
Description: partial 16S ribosomal RNA
Rfam family: Bacterial small subunit ribosomal RNA
Source: RNAcentral
UACGGGGGGGGGCAAGCGUUGUUCGGAAUUACUGGGCGUAAAGGGCUCGUAGGUGGCCAACUAAGUCAGACGUGAAAUCCCUCGGCUUAACCGGGGAACUGCGUCUGAUACUGGAUGGCUUGAGUUUGGGAGAGGGACGCGGAAUUCCAGGUGUAGCGGUGAAAUGCGUAGAUAUCUGGAGGAACACCAGUUGCGAAGGCGGCUCUCUGGACCAGCACUGACACUGAGGCACGAAAGCGUGGGGAGCAAACAGG